Long non-coding RNA from Coturnix japonica (Japanese quail), 1621 nucleotides. NCBI's taxonomy places the organism in Eukaryota, Metazoa, Chordata, Aves, Galliformes, Phasianidae. The record is from Ensembl.
CCUAUGGGUCUCUAUGGGUCUCUGUGGGUCCCUAUGGGUCUCUAUGGGUCUCUAUGGGUCCCUAUGGGGUCUCUAUGGGUCUCUAUGGGACUCUAUGGGUCCCUAUGGGUCCCUAUGGGGUCCCUAUAUGUCCCUAUGGGUCCCUAUGGGUCUCUAUGCGUCCCUAUAUGUCCCUAUAUGUCUCUAUGGGUCCCUAUGGGUCUCUAUGGGUUUCUAUGUGUCUCUAUGGGUCCCUAUGGGUCCCAAUGUGUCCCUAUGUGUCCCUAUAUGUUCCUAUGGGUCUCUAUGGGUCUCUAUGGAUCCCUAUGGGUCUCUAUGGGUCUCUAUGUGUCCCUAUGGGUCCCAAUGUAUCCCAAUGUAUUUCUAUGGGUCUCUGUGGGUCCCUAUAUGUCCCUAUAUGUCUCUAUGGAUCCCUAUGGGUCCUUAUAUGUUCCUAUAUGUCUCUAUGGGUCUCUCUCUAUGGGGUCCCUAUGGGUCUCUAUGGGUCCCUAUGGGUCCCAAUGUGUCCCUAUAUGUCCCUAUGGGUCCCUAUGGGUCCCUAUGAGUCCCUGUGGGUCCCUAUGGGUCUGUAUGGGUCUCUAUGGGUCCCCAUGGGUCUCUAUGGGGUCCCUAUGUGUCCCUAUGGGUCCCUAUGUGUCUCUAUGGGUCCCUAUGGGUCCAUAUGGGUCCCUAUGGGUCCAUUUGGGUCCCUAUGGAUCUGUAUGGGUCCAUAUGGGUCCCUGUGGGUCCAUAUGGGUCUGUAUGGGUCCCUAUGUGUCCCUUUGGGUCCCUAUGGGGUCUGUGUAUCCCUAUAUGUCUCUAUGAGUCCCUAUGUGUCUCUAUGUGUCCGUAUGGGUCUCUAUGGGUCCCUAUGGAUCCCUAUGGAUCCCUAUGGGUCCCAAUGUGUCCCUAUAUGUCCCUAUGGGUCCCUAUGGCUCCCUAUUGGUCUCUAUGGGUCUCUAUGUGUCCCUAUGGGUUUCUAUGGGUCUCUAUGGGUCUCUAUGGGUCUCUAUGUGUCCCUAUGGGUCUCUGUGGGUCUCUAUGAGUCUCUAUGGGUUCCUAUGUGUUUCAAUGGGAUGCUAUGGGUCUCUAUGGGGUCUUUAUGGGUCCCUAUGGGUCCCUAUGUGUCUCUAUGGGUCCUUAUAUGUCCCUAUGGGUCUCUAUGGGUCCCUAUAGGUCUCUAUGGGUCCCUAUUGGUCUCUAUAUGUGCCUAUGGGUCUCUAUAUGUCCCUAUGGGUCUCUAUGGGUCUCUAUGUGUCCCUAUGGGUCCCUAUAUGUCCCUAUGGGUCUCUAUGGGUCUCUAUGGGUACCUAUGGGUCCCUAUGGCUCCCUGUGGGUCCCAAUGUGUCCCUAUAUCCCCUAUAUAUCUAUAGGGUGAGCACCCCGAGGCUCGCCGUCUCCUGUCUAUGGCCCUAAGGCAGAACUGUGGGGCCGCGGCCCUAAAGGAGAGUCUGCAACACGCCGAGGCCGCGGUCAGGAGCCAGCCCAGAGAUGGGAGGAACUGGUGUAAGGGGGAGAUAUGGGGCGAUAUGGGGGGAUAUGGGGGGAUAUGGGGUGAUAUGGGGUGUCUAUGGGGCUCUAUGGGGCUCUAUGGGGUGUCUGUGGGGCCGCGGCCCUAAAGGAGAGUCUGCAACACGCCGAG